Molecule: long non-coding RNA, 13469 nt
Organism: Solanum lycopersicum (tomato)
Lineage: Eukaryota; Viridiplantae; Streptophyta; Magnoliopsida; Solanales; Solanaceae
Source: RefSeq, a predicted model, not a curated record
AAAGUAAAGUUGUAGUUUAUUAUAUUUUAUUUUCCAUUGUACCAUUUGACUGUAUUUUUAUUUUUGAUCAAAAGAUUGUGUUCCAUUCAUCUUUGGAACCCAAAGUUACAAGUGAUUUGAGUGAGCUGUAUAGCUUCCACAUCAGAGAAUUGAUACUCCAUACAUUUUAUCUAAUCUUAAGACGUGUUAAAUGCACGAUGGAGAAUAAUAUCUAUACAAGUUACAUCUUCCUCCAACAAUUUAAAAUAUUAGUAUUGGGGAUCAAAAUUCAGCCUAACAACAGUCUUCUUCUUUGUGUUCGUACCGAGGGAACUUCCAUCUAUCAAUAUUCAAAAGUACCUUGAUUUCUUUUGGGAGUAUGUUGAAGUUAAUGUAGAUGUGAACUUGGUUUCAAUUAUGUACUAAAAAGACAAUCUAUCAUCCACUUUGUAAGUUUCACCAUAUAUAUAGUAGUUGCUUGUAAUCAUGUAUCGGUUUAACAGAUCUUUAUUAUCUUUAAUAGUUUCUUCGAUCUUCCAUGGUGUUUUCCUUUCAUUAUUCACACAAUUGUGCAACAAAAAUUAAAGGAAUCAGUUUCAUAAAUAGUUUUUUGAUACCUUUCCCAAUACACCAGUUAUGUCCAAACAACGUGACUUUAGUCUCGAACUAGUUAUUAGUGCUAUCUCCUAAAGAUUCAGAGAAUGCCAUGGUGAAUCUGAUUGUAACAAGUUGUGUUGAUCUUAUUACUUUUGUUAUUCUUUAUAUUCUUUAAUAUAAGUUGUGUGUAAUUUUCAUGGUUAUGGCUCCUAGUAUGGAAUGGAUGAAACUUGUUGACGAAACCUACUUAGUUGGUAUGCAAAAUUUUUUAGAUUUCGCUUUCAAAAAGCAGGAAAGGUAUAUGAAAUGCAACAUUCAUGUGUCGAAUUCUGCAAUACAACUUUGGGGACUCGUAAAAUAGUUGAGACACAUUUUCUGUUUCAACUGAAUAACAAAUAUUUGAUGCUCAACAUUCACAUGUCUAACUACCUACUCACUGUUUAUGUACCGCCCCGCAAGGUGUUACAUUAAAAUCCGACGAUUUCAGCCGCUUCGUUAAUGCGGCAGCAUCCUAUCGAGGCUCGGAGGGUCAAGAGAUUGUGACAAACUCCAUCCCAACCGUUGGGGUUUUCUUGUAGGCAAGGAUGAACAUUUAAUGCUCACCAUGUCCAGCCAAGAACACCCCCAAUGCAGAGGACAAAAUCUGUGCAGCAGUUUCUCCAAGUGGCAAUAAAGUAGAAAAGCAAAUCUGCUCAUUUGUUUCAGUCUUGUAAGACUGCCACUUAUAGCCUUUCUGUUGGAAUUUGUUCCCAAACGUUUUAACUUACUUAUAAUCCCUUCGUAUAUUGUUUUAGGCAGCAUAUCUUAUAUCUCAUCUUGUAAAAAGAUACUUGGAGAAAAUAUUGGAAAAUUGGCUUUUGCCUCCCAAAGACCUUUGUCUUCCAUACUUGCUUCCCUCACUAUUUUGUGGCCUUGUUUGUUUGACUGUCUUGCUUGUUGUUUCCUUGUGUGUUUGGUUGGCUAUUGGACUGAGUUUUGAAGAGUUGUGCAAGCCUUCAUAUACUGCCCCGCAAGGUGAAAAUUUUACUCGGUGCUAGUGGUAUCAGAGAAUCGAUCGAAGCAUGACGUCGAAGUCCUAACAGAAUGAGGAGGCUGUCCAAGACAAGAAGUCCGAAGUUCGGAAGGAUCCUUCCAAGAAACGUGACAAGAUCAAGGUAAGAGAACCUUCUUGUAACCCUUCUCUUGGUAGUAGAGCUGCUGGUGAAGAGGGGGAAGGUGCGGACAAUAGCCAACACGAUGAGAAAACCAUCGGAGUUGAGGCGGGGUUGUCAGCCUUAAAUAGAAGGAUUGUUGUUGUUGAGAACAACUUAAGUUCUCUCGAAUUUGUAGCCAUUGAAGGGCUGGAAGAGGUGAGGAACAACCUUGUUGAGCCUGAGGAAGUUCACAAAGAGGGUUUAUCCAACCUCGAACUCAAGAUCAACGAGGCCAUCUCUUCCCUUCAAAGAGAGGUUGAGGCACUAAAAUGGCAGGUUGAUGAGGCUGCCGAGAUGGGGGUUGCUGCUCUGGUUACUGUGCGUGAGACAUGCAUUGAGGCUCCCAAACCCAAGGAAUUUCGUGGAGAAAGGAGUGCUCAAGACGUGGAAAAUUUCUUAUGGCAGAUGGAUGCUUACUUUGAGCACGUAAACAUGCAAAACGAGGUUGCCAAAAUCAGAAGGACAACCAUUAUCUGAUUGAUAUGACAGUGUUGUGGUGGCGAAGGAAGAAGGCGGACAUGGAGAAGGGGGUCUGUUGUAUUCGUUUAACUUCCUCUAUUCGGGACUAUGUGAAAGAGUUCACGGAAUUGACACUCCAAAUUCCGAGCUUGACCAAUGAAGACUUGCUGUUUUACUUCAUGGAUGGACUCUAGAACUGGGCCAAACAAAAGCUUCAAAGACGUCAAGUUCACGACGUGGACGAGGCGAUAGUAGUGGUAGAAUCGCUCAAUGAUUUUCGGGUAGAUGCGGCAAAGGGGAGGGAUAAUCGGAGCAAAACUAUUCCUCCCAAGGAUGAAACAACAGGAACGAAUGCAUAUCGAAUCAAAACCAAGGCAGCGACACAAGAAGUAACACUCGUGAUCGACCUCUAAUUUCUACAAGAGUUACGAGAACUGCAGGAAAGGCGCUCCUCAUCGUGAAGGUUGUUAUAUUUGUGGGGAGACGACGCAUGCUGCUCGUUAUUGUCCAUCCUUGAGAAAAUUGAGUGUUAUGGUGGCUGCCGAAAAGCAGCAAGAAAAGGCUGCGAUGCAAACCAGAGGUUCUGUCGCGGAGCAACGGGGGCAGAAUAGCGGGAUGGACAAGGGAAAAAACGUUAUUGUUGGUAUGUUCAAUCAUAUGGAUUUAUUUAAUCAUAUUUCAAUUGCUGCUUUGGCUGCUCAAUCGGCUAGUAUCAAGCCGCGAGAAUCACUGUUUGUCGAUGCCAAGUUAAAUGGCAAGGACGUGCGAAUUAUGUUGGACACUGGUGCAACGCAUAAUUUUGUGACGGAACAAAAGGCCAAGGAGCUUGGCCUGAAUUAUGUUGCCAGCAACACCAUGUUGAAGACAAUCAAUGCCACUCCCACUUUUGUCCAUGGCUUUGCUCCUAAAGUCUCUAUCGAUUUAGGAGAUUGGUCGGGGCUGAUCGACUUCACCAUUGUACCGAUGGACGUGUUCGAUGUAAUUUUGGGGUUGGACUUUUAGUACGAGGUUAACGCGUUUAUCUCACCGCAUCACAACCAGCUACACAUCAGCGACACCGGAGACUCAUGCGUGGUACCCCUUAUUCGGGUACCACAAAAUGGGAUACACUUAUUGGCUAUGCAGAUUAUUAAGGGCUUCAAAAGAGGUGAACCAACCUUUCUUGUUGCCCUUGUUGGAGGCAUCGAAAGCUGUUCCGAGGCGGUUCCAUUGCAUCAUUGCAUUGAGCAGGUCCUUAGCGAAAUAAGGACGUGUUGGCGGAAGAGCUUCCCCAACGGUUGCCACUCUGAAGGGAAGUUGAUCAUCCUUAUCGUAUGGCGCCCCCAGAACUGGAAGAAUUGAGGAAACAACUCAAGGAGCUGCUUGAUUCGGGACACAUUAGGCCGUCUAAGGCGUUGUUUGGUGCGCCUGUCCUGUUUCAAAAGAAGAAGGAGGGGACGCUGUGACUAUGUAUCGUUUAGCGGGCCCUCAAUAAGGUCAUGGUGAAGAACAAGUAUCCAAUUCCCUUGAUUAUGAUUUAUUUGAUAGAUUGGGACAGGCCAAAGUGUUCAUGAAGAUGGUUUUGAGGAAGGGUUAUUACUAAGUUCGAAUUACCGAGGGUGAUAAACCCAAGACGACUUGUGUGACGCGCUAUGGUGCCUUCCAGUGGCUGGUCAUGCCCUUUGGCUUGACGAAUGCACCGGCGACGUUCUGUACGUUGAUGAACAAGUUGUUCCACCAAUACUUGCAUCAGUUUGUGGUGAUUUAUUUAGACGAUAUCGUCGUCUAUAGCGACAUCAUGGAGGAUCACGUGGAGCAAUUGCGCAAAGUGUUCAAGGUUUUGCGCUACAAUGACUUGUGCGUGAAGUGGGAGAAAUGCAGCUUCGCUCAACCUACUGUCCAAUUCCUCGGGCAUACAAUCAGCCAUGGCGAGAUAAGGAUGGACGGCGACAAGGUGGAAGCUAUUAAGAAUUAGGAGGCUCCAACGAAGGUACCCAAAUUACGGUCCUUCCUUGGCCUUGCCAAUUAUUAUCGAUGCUUUAUUUUUCAGCUAUUCAGCUAUUGCAACCCGACUCACUGAUUUGCUGAGUAAGAACCGUGAGUGGGAAAGGUCGGAUGCUUGUCAAGCUGCCUUCGAUAGGUUUAAGGCUGAUAUCACGGAAGAACCUAUUUUGGCCUUACCUGAUUUCACUAAGGCGUUUGAGGUUCACACUGAUGCGUCGGACUUUGCCAUUAAUGGCAUCCUAAUGCAAGAGGGCCACCCGAUAGCAUUUGAAAGCAGAAAGUUGAAUGAGGCGAAGAGGAGGUACUCUGCUCAUGAGAGGGAGAUGACGGCUGUAGUUCAUUGUCUUAGAACUUGGCGUCAUUACGUGUUGGGUGCUCACUUUGUCGUCAAGACGGAAACCGUCGCGAUGACAUAUUUUCAAUCUCAAAAGAAGCUGACUGCUAAGCAGGCCCGUUGGCAGGAUUUCUUGGCAGAAUUCAAUUUCACGUUUGAAUACAAGUCGGGCAAGGCUAAUGUCGUUGCCGACACGCUUAGUCGCAAGGACGCCUUGGCUACAAUCGUGAGCUCGAAUUGCAGCUCUAUUGUUGAGGGGAUAAAAGAGGGCAUGCAUUAUGAUCCCGUAGCGAAACAACUCUUCGCCUUGGCCCAACAAGGCAAGACGAAGAAAUUCUGGGAAGAGGAUGGUCUGCUCUAUACUACUGGCAGGCGUGUGUAUGUUCUGAAGUGGGCUAACCUUCAGCAUACGUUGAUCAAUGAGGAGCACGACACUGCUUGGGCUGGUCAUCCUGGUAGAAGAGAACUUUAGCCUUGAUAGAGGCUUCUUAUUAUUGGCCUCGGAUGCGGGACGACACCGAGGCAUAUGUGCGGACUUGUCUAAUUUGUCAACAAGACAAGGUCGAGACGAAGGCGCCGGGUGGACUGCUUGAGCCGCUGCCCAUUGCAAAAAACCUUGGGAUAGCGUCACGAUGGAUUUCAUUACUUGCUUGCCGAACUCGGAAGGGUUUGGACGAUUAUGGUCGUGGUGGAUUGCUUCUCAAAGUAUGCAACAAUCACUGCCACGACGGCCAGUUGCAAGGCUAAGGAGGUAGCUCAUAUCUUCUUGCGCGACGUCGUCAAGUAUUGGGACAUCCCCAAGUACAUCAUUAGUGAUCGAGAUCCUCGAUUUACCGGAACAUUUUGGAGAGUGUUAUUCAGUCUCUUGGGGUGAGAACUGCACUUUUCAACCAGUUUCCAUCCUCAAACGGAUAGGCUGACAGAGCGGAUCAAUGCGCUCUUGGAGUGUUAUUUGCGGCACUAUGUUAGUGCCAACCAAAAGGAUUGGGCCAAGCUGCUGGACACUGCCCAAUUCUCUUAUAAUUUGCAGCGGAGCGAAGCGACGGGGAGGAUUCCUUUUGAAUUAGCAACAGGGCGGCAGCCUAAUACGCCCCAAUCCUUGCCUGUUAAUGCCGGUUUGAAGAGUCCGGAUGCCUAUCAUAUGGCGAAAGCCUGGGAGGAACAAGUCGACCUUGCACGGUCGUAUCUUGAUAAGGCAGCCCGGAAAAUGAAAAAUUUUGCUGAUCAGAAGCGGCACCGGUUGAUUACCGAAUUGGGGAUCGAGUUAUGGUGAAACUCAAUGAAGACAGUUCAAGUCAUUGCGGAGUGUGAGUCAAAGUUUGAUUCGCAAGUAUGAAGGGUCUUUUGAGAUCAUUGCCAAGGAUGGCAAGAUUUCAUAUCGAAUAGACAUGCCCCAUCAUUUGAAGAUUCAGCCUUUCUUCCAUGCAUGCCUAUUGAAACCGUAUGUUGAAGAUAUGGAAGACAAAGAGCGGGGGCAGUCUGGUAGAGCUAGAAUUUUCAUCACACCGCCAACCGUGGACAAGCAGAUUGAGUCCAUAAUUGAUCAUUAACUUGUUCGUGGAAAGGGCUGGAAAAACUCAAGCUCACAGUUCCUAGUUCAUUGGAAAGGACCAGAGGAGACGACGUGGGAAAAGUAUGAGGACCUGUGGCAGUUUUGCGACAAGGUCCACAAUAAUUUGCAAUUGUGUGGCGUCGGGGUCGUCGCCAAAUCAGGUGGGGGAGCGUGUACCGCCCUGCAAGGCAUUAAUUGAAAUCCGACGAUUCCAGCCCGUUCGUUAACGCGGCUGCAUCCUAUCGAGGCUCGGAGAGUCAAGAGAUUAUGCCAAACUCCAGCCCAACCGUUGGGGGUUUCUUGUAGGCAAGAAUGAACAUUUAAUGCCCACCAUGUCCAGCCAAGAACACCCCCCAAUGCUGAGGAUAAAAUCUGUGCAGCAGUUUCUCCAAGUGGCAAUAAAGCAGAAAAGCAAAUGUGCCCACUUUUUCAGCCUUGUAAAGACUGCCACUUGUAGCCUUUCUUUUGGAAUUUGUUCCCAAACAUUUUAAGUUACUUAUAAGCCCUUUGUAUAUUGUUUUAGGCAGCAUAUCUUGUAUCUCAUCUUGUAAAAAGAUAUUUGGAGAAAAUAUUGGAAAAUUGGCUCUUGCCUCCCAAAGAACUUUGUCUUCUUUGCGUUGCUUUCCUUACUGUUUUGUGGUCUGUUUGUUUGAUUGUCUUGCUUGUUGUUUCUUGUGUGUUUGGUUGGCUGUUGGACUGAGUUUUGAAGAGCUGUGCAAGCCUUCAUAUACUGUCCCACGAGGUGAAAAUUUGACCCCGUGACUGUUUAGCUCCAUUGCUAACUGUAGAGGAUUUUGAUUUUUAAUCUUUGUAAGUAAGUUAGUAGACUUGCUUAUAUGAUUGAUCCUUAGUUGCUUGUUUUCGACAUAUUUCUUCAUUUUGGAAGCUUUUGUUGAUGUUUCUGGACAACCCUCAAUGAAUUGAAGAUCGAAACUUUUAACUUUCUUCCAAGCUUUUGUUGAUGCUUAGAUGUGUGUUUUGACAAUCAAAUAUUAUAACUAAAAAUAUGAUAUGUUAGCCACUCUAAUGUAAAAUCGUACACUCUUGAUCUCUAUCUUCUUGUCUCUUCUAUAUAUAUUUAUAUCAUCUAUUUGUAUAAAAAAAAUUUGGUAAUUAAUAUGUGCAUGAUUUCAAUUGCUCUAUGACCAUUGGUGGUUAGUUAGAAACCAAAAUUAUUACUUGUCCCCGAAGGUUAAUCUAAGAUGAGAAAUGUUGCUCGUCUCUAACGAUUAAGCUAGGAUUAGAAUAGUUUGAUUGUCACUAAAUCUAUUUUAGGACGAGGUCAUUGAAUGUAACUAAAUCUAUUCAAAGAGCAGGUCGUUGGUCGUCGCGAAAACUAUUCUAGGGCCAACUAGUUACUGGUCUUUAACAUGUUUCUAGGACCAGGUCGUUGGUCGUCGCUAAAGGUGUCCUAUGACCUAUUAAUGAUCGUCCCUAAUGAGGAUUAACGACCAGAAAUGAGCUUUUUGUUAGAUAUCUUAAAAGUAUUUGAGACCAGAAUUGUUGUCUCUAAAAUGACUUAGGCGGCUAGAUUUCUUUACCGACCCUAAACUGUUUAACGACCGGAUUUUUAAUAACUUAAAGAAAUCCAAUUUAGAUGUGCAAAUAAAAGUUAAACGUAUAUGAUCAUUUACAUUUUAUGUAGCAUAUCCAAAUGAAUCCAAAAAAAAAUAAUCUAUUUCUUGGUAGUCAAGAAAACCCACCUAGCUAUAAACUUGUAACAUGUCUAAGAUAUGGAGAGGAUAAGAUCACUAGAAACUUAGAUAGCACCAAAUGGUGUAGGGUACGUGGGGGAUAGACCACACCUUAGUUUUUUCACUUCAUCUUUUUUUAGCACAAAGUUUAGUUUGUAUUUUUUAAUAACUUAAAAUUUGGAAAGAAUUAUUGCAUACUAGUGACAACAUUGUUACGUCAUUCGCUAAUAUUCUUUAUUUAUAAUAUAACUAUCUCUAAUGUAGUUAAAUUAGCACGUUAUUCAUCAUAUUGCUUCUUCAUCGUAAUUUGGUGUACAAAACAAAAUCAGAUACUGUCUCCUCCUUUGUUUCUGAUGAUCAUGGUCCUCUUCCUAGUAUUUCUACACAGUUAGCCAAAUUUGGGUGCAUCAUGCAAGGCUCAAACAUAAUAUAUAAACUGUACAAAACUUUAUUUCUUUUCGUAACUUUCCGAAAAUGGCCAAAUAAAUCAACGCCCCAAAAUGGAAGAAAAAUCAAGAAAAAAACAAAAACAGUACAAAGAAUGGUUGAAUUUUUUUUUUACUUGCACCAAUGACCUUUGAAUAUAACGAAAAAUUAGAGAAGGAAAAUGGCCAAAAUAUUUCUUAAAUGCCCUAAAAUUAUCGAAAAAUCAAAAAACAUACAUAAAGAGUACAAAAAACACCUCAAAAAUAUUUUUUACUUGCUCCAAUGACCUUAAAAUAUCGUGAAAAAUAAGAGAACAAAACUUCACUUCUUUUUGUAACUACCCAAAAAUGGUUGAAUAUUAUGUUAAUGCCCCAAAAUGACCGAAAAAUCAUGAAACACAUUAAAAAAAUAAAAAAUACCUUAAAUUCUUUUUGACUUGCAGCAAUGACCUUAGAAUUUCGUGAUGAAUAAAAGAAUAAAAAUUUAUUUGGUUUCGUAACUUCCCGAAAAAGGUCAAAUAUUAGGUAAAUGCCUCAAAUGACCAAAAAAUGAAGAAACACGCACAAACAAUAUAAAAAACUCCUCAAUUUUUUUUUAAAACUUGCACCAGUUACUUCAGUAUAUUGUGACGAAUAAACUUUAAAACUUUAUUCCUUUUCAUAACUGGUAAAAAAUGAUCGAAUAUUAUGUAAAUGCAAAAAAUAGCCAAAAAAUCAAGAAACUAACAUUAGAUAAUACAAAUAACGUCUCAAAAAAAUCUCGAAUUGCACCAAUGACCUUAGAAUAUUGUAAUGAAUAAAAGAGAAAAAAAGUAUUUCUUUUAGUAAUUUUACGAAAAUAACUGAAUAUUACGUAAAUGCCCAAAAUGGUUGAGAAUCAAGAAACAUAAACAAUAAAAAAAUGUCUCAAAAGAAUUCUACUUUCAUCCAUGACCUUAGAAUAUCGGGAUGAAUAAGCAAACAAAAUUAAACUUCUUUUUGUAACUGCCUAAAAUGGACGAUUAUUACGUAAAUGCCCCUAAAUGGAUGAAAUAACAAGAAACACACAUAAAAAAAAUACAAAAUACACCUCAAUUUUUUUGACAUGCAUCAAUGGCCUUAGAUCGAGAAGAAUAUGAGAACAAAAUAUUUUUUUCCCGUAACUCUCCGAAAUAGCAGAAUGAUACAUUAAUGCUCCUAAAAUGAUUGAAAAUCAAGAAACAUACAUAAAAGCUUCUAAUUUCGUAACUACAUGAAAAUAGAUGAAUAGUACAUUCAUGCCCCAAAUAGGCUGAAAAUCAAGAAAUACAAAUAAACAAUACAAAAAACGCCUCCAAAAGUUUCCAACUUGACCCAAUGACAUUAGAAUGUCGUGGCGGAAAACAGAACAAACUUUAUUUCUUUUCUUACCUGCCCAAAAAUUAUCGAAUAUUACGUAGAUGCCCUAGAAUGACCGGAAAUCAAUAAGAAAUAAACAAUAAAAAGAUCCUCGAAAAAAUAUGACUUUCACUAAUGACCUUAGAAUAUUGUGACGAAUAAGAGAACAAAAAUUUACUUUUUUUCUUUACUGCCAGAAAAUGACCAAAUAUUACGUAAAUACCCCAAAAUGACCGAAAAUCAAGAAACACGUAUAAACAAUACAAAAAGUUUCUCAUAAAAAUUUCAACUUGCACCAAUGACCUUAAAUAUCAGAAGAACAAAACAUUAUUUCUUUUUGUGACAGUCCGAAAAUUAUCGAAUAUUAUCCAAAUGCUUCAAAAUGGCCAAAAAAUCAAGAAACACUCAUCAACAACACAAAAAAUGACAUGAAAGAAAUUUCGGCUUCCACCAAUGACCUUAGAAUAUUAUGAUGAAUAAUAGAACAAAAUCUUACUUAUUUCCGGAACUACCUAAAUAUGAACGAAGUUGACGUAAAUACCCAUAAAAUGGCUAAAAAAUCAAGAAACAAACCAAAACAGUAAAAAAAAUGCCUCAAAAUAUUUUUUGAUUUUCACCAUUGACCUUAGAAUAUAGUAACAAAUAAGAGAACAAAACUUGACUUCUUUUCGUACUGCCUGAAAAUGGCCGAACAUCAUAUAAAUGACCUAAAAAUAAAGAAACACACAUAAACAAUACAAAAAAAUACCUCAAAAAAUGUUCUAUUUGUAGUAAUGACCUUAAACUAUCAUGACGGACAAUAGAACAAAACUUUGUUUCUUGUCGUAACUGCCGGAAUAUUACAUAAAUGCCCUAAAAUGACUGAAAAAUCAAGAAACACAUUAACAAUACGAAAAAUGCGGUCAAUUAUUUUGACUUGCACCAAUGACCUUGGAAUACUGUGACAAAAAACAGAGCAAAACUUCGCUUUGUUUUUGUCACUACCCGAAAAUGACCAAAUAUUAUGUAAAUGCCUAAAAUAGCCAAAAAUAAAAAAACACACAUAAAUAAUACAAAAAAUGCCUCAAAAUAUUUUUUGAAUUGCUCCAAUAAACUUAUAAUAUUGUGACAUAUAACAGAAAAAAAAUUUACUUCUUUUCAUAACUGCGCAAAAAUGGCUGAAUUUUUAAAAAUGCCUCCAAAAUGACCGAAUAUUUUGUAAAUGCCCCAAAAUGAGGCAUUUAGUGAUUGGGGUGAGAUCCAUCGGAGUUUAGAAAAGUUAAAAUUGAAAAUCGGAGAACAAAAGUUUGAAAUCACGUCAGACAAGUUCUGGGGCGCCGCGCUUGCCAGAGCUCCUUAGAGCAGCCUCUGUCUUACAGGGCCUGGCGUGCCGCGCUAGCAAGAUCCCCUCAGGACAAUAUUUAUCCGUCAGGCUCUUGCGCCCCGCGCCUCUGCGAGCACCAAGACCUUCUGGGGACCCCGUUCUUUCCGUAUCUUUUUGUACUAGUUCCUAAGUGAUGUACCUAUAAUUUCUAGUUGAUUACAACACUCUAAAGUACAUAUUAAACAUCAUUAAAUCAUCCAUUUACAUGAGAUCAUGAUCCUUGAAUCUAUAAUUCAAUUCUAGAAAUUUUAAGAUCAAAGUCAAGGUAGUUACGAGUCAAGCUUAAAAGUAAAGAAACAAGUCAAAGUAAGUUCUUAAGGUUUUCAAAGAGUAAACAAUCAUUUUAACUUUUGUUUAAGGCUCAAGUUACAAGUUGAGCAAAGAGUAAGGAGUUGAGUUAAAUUUUCAAAAGCUAUAAGGGAACUAAGUAGUCCCUAAAGGUUUAUAAAUACUUUCACAUUUAAUUUAAAAGGGAACUAAGAGUUCCAAAAGAGUUUUGAACAAAUAAGGGGAACAUUGAUUUCUAAAGGAGCUUUUUAAAACUAAAGGGUUCAGUAAAUUAUCUCAACCCCAAGGAAAGUUUUAUUAAAAGUAUGAGCUUAAGUAUAUUUUGGGAGCAGUAUCUGAGCACCGAUGUGGGAAUGAGAGUUUAUAUUAACUCAAGUCUCCAUGUAAACCAUGAAGCCGUCAUGGGAAUUGACAGGUCAUUUUUUUAGAUGAUUACGUAAGGUAAUUUAGUGGAUCCACUAAUCUAAGUAAGGUCCUAUACGGAUGGCAAGGUUUAGGAUGGUCCUCAGUAGUGUGAGGUGAAACGUUGUAUCAUAACUUGGGCUUAAAGCGAUGGUUGUCCGUUAGAAAAUCUCCCACAAAAGUUAUAUUACUUUCAUAUAUAAGUAAGGUUGAGUUUGUUAUUGCAUUUCUUUAACGAACUAAGUUGUUUUGUUAUUUUACAAGCUUUAUAUAUAUCACAUUUUUUAAAUUGCUAUACGUACAUACUUUGAGUUAAGUAUAUUCUUGAGUUGAGCAGAGUCAAGGUAAGUUCAUUUUGAUCCCCUCAAGCUUAUGUUGUCUUUUAGUUUCCAACUCGCAUACUCGUACUUUAAAAGUACUGAUGCUAGUUGGUUUUCAUCGUUUCAUGAUGCAGACGCAGGUAACCAGUAUCAGCACACAGCACACCAUUGAUCCAGUUGAGCACUCCGUAGUCACUUGGUGUACCUCCUUGCAUUCCGGAGGGCAUCCCUUUUAUUGCUUUUCUAGCAUAAGUUCAUUAGGAUUUUAUGGGGUCUAUCCGAACAUCCUUCUCAGUCAGUUUAUAGGCUUCAUAGACAAUGUAAUAGUUCUGUUUUGGAGUCUCCUUUAUCUUAUACUUCACAUGUUAUAGUAUUGAGACUUAAGUGCAAUUUUUGCCGAGACAAUUAAUUAAAUUAUCUUAUGAGAAUGCUUUUAACUUUUUUAUCUGAAAUGAGUAAGUCUUCUGCUGAGUUAAGUAAGCCAGACCAAGGGUCCACUCAAGAACAAUAAUGGUCGUUGAGUGCCGGCCACGUCCAGGGUGUAGGCUCCGGGCGUGACAACAAGAUACCUCAAAUAAUUUGACUUGCACCUAUGGCCUUAGAAUUCACGACGAAUAACUGAACAAAACUUUACUUCUUUUCAAUCACUGCCCAAAAAUGGCUGAAUCAUACGUAAAUGCCCAAAAAUAGCCAAAAAAAUUCAAGAAACACACAUGAACAAUAAAAAAGAAUGGCUAAAAUGUUUUUUGAAAUGCACCAAUGACAUUAUAAUACCUUGAAAAAUAACGGAACAAUUUUGUUUCUUUUCAUAACUGCCAAAAAUGGCAGAAUAUUACGUAAAUACCCCAAAUGGUCGAAAAAUUAAAAAACACACAUAAACAUUAUAAAAAAUGCCACAAAAUAUUUUUUAACUGCACCCAUGACAUUAAAAAUAUUGUGACCAAAAAUAGAAAAAAAAUAUCACAUCUAUUCUUAACUGACCGAAAAUGACUGAAUAUUACGUAAAUGUGACCUAAAAUUGUUGAAAUAUCAAGAAAUACAUGUAUACAAUACAAAACGCCUCAAAAAAAUUUAGACUUGCACCAAUGACCUUAGAAUAUCGUGAUGAAUAAUAUAAUAAUACCUUACUUGUUUUCGUAACUAUCAAAAAGUUGCUAAAUAUUUCAUAAAUUCCCUAAAAUAGUUUUAAAAAAUCAAGAAACACACAUAAAAAAUACAAAAAAGCCUCAAUUUUUUUGAAUUGAACCAAUGAACUUAGAAUAUCGUGAUGAAUAACAAAAUAAAAUUUUACUUCUUUUUGUAACUGUCCUAUAAUGACAGAUAAAUGCGCCCUAAACUAGUCAAAAAAUCAAGAAAAUACAUAAAAAAUAAAAAAAAUGCCUCAAACUUUUUAUUGACUUGCAACAAUGACCUUAGAAUAUUGUGAUGAAUAACAGAACAAAACUUUACUUUUUUUCAUAACUGCUCGAAAACGGAACAAUAUUAGAUAAAUUCCAUAAAAUGACCAAAGAGUCGAGAAACACA